This 136-nucleotide ribosomal RNA is filed under the name Escherichia coli. RNAcentral describes it as "partial 23S ribosomal RNA". The record is from RNAcentral. Lineage: Bacteria; Pseudomonadati; Pseudomonadota; Gammaproteobacteria; Enterobacterales; Enterobacteriaceae.
UGUUACUGCGAAGGGGGGACGGAGAAGGCUAUGUUGGCCGGGCGACGGUUGUCCCGGUUUAAGCGUGUAGGCUGGUUUUCCAGGCAAAUCCGGAAAAUCAAGGCUGAGGCGUGAUGACGAGGCACUACGGAUGAUU